CUACCGGACAUGACGUUACGAGACUGCAUCCGCACAGUCGCAGGAGUGUGAUGCUCAUGCACAAUGAUUUGUUUACACGCUAUCUGACUAAUUACGUCCCGAUUUUUUGUGUGCUGCGGAUAUUUUCCUUCUAUUGAUACUUGGGCCCUUGACCAAGGUCCGGACUCUGCAUGCAACUUACCUUGAAGUAUACUUUAUUUUGGAGAACAAUAAAAGGAAAAAGGUGAAGAAACAGAAAUGUGUUUUUAACCCUCAUGCAACCAACACAAGAACAUACUUCAGGAUUACUAGGCCAUAAACCUUACCAAAUAAAUGUCAGUAAGGGCUCCUUCACAAUCAUAGGGCAGCAGUUCACCGGGUGAUACAUUUAAAUACGGUAGUAUCUAAACGUAUGGUACACCCAGAGACUUCCCUUUUGUAAAAGUUGCCAAAACGAUGCCAGUUUGGACCUUUUUUUUUUUGUCCCCUUUAUGUUUGAGUACAAUUUUUCUGUGUCGUAGAAA
Hyla sarda is the source of this 503-nucleotide long non-coding RNA. RefSeq lists it as uncharacterized. Lineage: Eukaryota; Metazoa; Chordata; Amphibia; Anura; Hylidae. The transcript is spliced from 3 exons. The record is from RefSeq and is a predicted model, not a curated record.